This is a long non-coding RNA of Struthio camelus australis, 717 nucleotides long. RefSeq lists it as uncharacterized. The record is from RefSeq and is a predicted model, not a curated record. NCBI's taxonomy places the organism in Eukaryota, Metazoa, Chordata, Aves, Struthioniformes, Struthionidae.
UGAGUUUUGUCUUAUAAUAUAAUAAUAUUACUCAUGAUAUUAAUGGUAGCAAUGUUACUCAUGUAGUGAGUUGCAUCAAUUGUAAGGGAGGAUUUUUUGUACUUAAUGUCAUAAAUACAUUUAAUAUGUCACCAUAAUUGAUUCUAUCUUUAAUUUUGCAAUAAAGCUUACUAACAGAUGAAAGCCUGGGUUGAAGACUGCGAUAUGAUAACCCUUCCAUCUAGAUUUCCAGUUCAGAUUCUGCUUGAGAGAAAGCCAAUGUCUGACAACUGGACGGUCACCUCUGUGAAUUAAUCUGGUGGGCUCAAUCCGAUUCUACUCACAUCUCCAAAACUAGUACUACAGCCAGCAAGUCUCUACACAGAGUCUAAGAGUUAAGCAAUCACAAUGACUGAACCAUCAACUUGACCUUUAAGAUCCCUUUAGAAAAGCAGUGUUCCACAGCCUAACAUGAAAACAGCGGGUGAAAGUCACACCUCACUGAAGUCAAUAGGAGGAUUGCUUUCAGUGGAACUUGGACUUCACCCGGCCAAUCCAGUCUGCAGUGUUUGGAUCCUACCUAUGUCCAAAGUACAGAUUCCAUCAUCUGCCUUCUUUCCUGAACCUUAAAGGUAUUUACUCAGCAUUGCAGUCUCUCAGUUCCACUUUGUUUUAAUGCAGUUACAUAAUAAACUAUGGACCUCCAGAGAUCAAAAAUCCCCAUUGAGCUGCUCUGAA